This 149-nucleotide ribosomal RNA is filed under the name uncultured Paracoccaceae bacterium. Its description in RNAcentral is "uncultured Rhodobacteraceae bacterium partial 16S ribosomal RNA". It matches the Rfam family "Bacterial small subunit ribosomal RNA", at positions 35 to 209 of the family's 1533-position model. Lineage: Bacteria; Pseudomonadati; Pseudomonadota; Alphaproteobacteria; Rhodobacterales; Paracoccaceae. The record is from RNAcentral.
GCUGGCGGCAGGCCUAAUACAUGCAAGUCGAGCGCGCCCUUCGGGGUGAGCGGCGGACGGGUGAGUAACGCGUGGGAAUAUGCCCUUCUCUAAGGAAUAGCCUCUGGAAACGGAGAGUAAUACCUUAUACGCCCUUUGGGGGAAAGAUU